GCGGGGAGCGCUGGAUCUUGCUGUGUCCCCUGGGGCCCUGUGCUCCAGGGCCUGCGCCACUGGAAUUGCACUCCCAGAUGCGCAGCCUCCU
Molecule: microRNA precursor, 91 nt
Filed under: Canis lupus familiaris (dog)
Lineage: Eukaryota; Metazoa; Chordata; Mammalia; Carnivora; Canidae
Also listed under: 1 other name
Description: mir-8799 microRNA precursor family
Rfam family: mir-8799 microRNA precursor family
Source: Rfam by way of RNAcentral